Long non-coding RNA from Heterocephalus glaber (naked mole-rat), 539 nucleotides. The record is from Ensembl. NCBI's taxonomy places the organism in Eukaryota, Metazoa, Chordata, Mammalia, Rodentia, Bathyergidae.
GGUGGACUGCCGUCUUGUGUAUGAGUAAGCAGCGUUGCUCUGCCAUACCCUUCAGCCAUGGGAACCUACCUGGGAGCCUGCCAACCAUGACAGGAAACCUCUGAAACUUAACAAGCUGGAACUUACAGUUGACUGGAAAUGAAGCAUCCCACAUGGGUGAGUUUUCUGUACAAAGAAGUUCAUCCAUCCCUUUCUGUUCUCUUUAGAAGGAACCUGUUUAUCCACACACACACCCACAGCCAGAUUGUGUAAAACCUACCCCAAGUAGAGAAUUUGUUUUCAGUAUUCAUCAACUCCACUUACUGACUGUCUACUCUGCUAGUUUUUGCUCUCAGAUUUCUUGGUUUUUCAACCUCUCUGUUUAUUUCGAUUCCAUGUCUUGGCUAUUUUUCCAUGUAUCCUAAAAACUAAUUUGACCUUUCUCUUCUUGCACUAGCCAGGUGUCCUGGAGGACACAGUUCCUGGUGUUUACAUCCAGGUCUCAUGCAUGGCCAUGAUAAGCAGGUGGUUGGUCAGGGAGCCCCCUGCCUCUCCUCAGC